UUCAACGGCCGCGGUAUCCUAACCGUGCAAAGGUAGCAUAAUCACUUGCCCAUUAAUUGUGGGCUAGAAUGAAAGGAUUAACGAAAUAAAAGCUGUCUCUAUAAGACCCCNUAAAAAUUACCCUUUAACCGAAGAGUGUUAAAUAGCGUCGAAGGACAAGAAGACCCUAUAGAGCUUAAUUAAAAUAAAUACAUAAANNAUUUACUAAAANUUCGGUUGGGGCGACCAGGGAAANUUACUAAUCAUCCCUAAGUAAAANGAUAAAUUAAUCUAACCAUUNNGACCCUUAANUCAAGAUCACUAAAACAAGCUACCUUAGGGAUAACAGGCUAAUCUUACUAGAGAGUUCUUAUCAAUAGUGGGGUUUGGCACCUCGAUGUUGGCUUAGGGAAUCUAUGUGGCGCAAAAGUCACAUAAAGAUGGUUUGUUCAA
RNAcentral lists this ribosomal RNA (432 nucleotides) under Lumbricus rubellus (humus earthworm). RNAcentral describes it as "partial 16S ribosomal RNA". It matches the Rfam family "Bacterial large subunit ribosomal RNA", at positions 1923 to 2584 of the family's 2925-position model. The record is from RNAcentral. Lineage: Eukaryota; Metazoa; Annelida; Clitellata; Crassiclitellata; Lumbricidae.